CCUCUUUGGACUAGGAAGACAUCUCUAUAAAUAGGGAUUUUUCUAACCUAGAUUUAAGAGAGUAUUCUAUACAAUACUUGCCCACCCAAGUAUUGAGUGAGUUUAAUUGUUGAUUGGGAUCACUGUAGAAGACUAUAGAACUGGAGUUGGAUUUACUUCAAGAUAUCUGCACACGCUUCAAGAGUGGAAAUGACGAUACGACUAAUCCUACUAUGAAUGGCGAUGGAGAAAAACAAAACAGAUGGAAGAGAAGAACUAAAAUAUCGGAGGAAAAAAGAGGAAGAAGAAGGUUGUAUGAUUGCGGCCGCGAACUGGUGCGGUGGAUGGAGUGAUGGCAAAGAGGUGAGGAUGAAGGAAGAACAUCUUUUACAAACAAAAAUACAAAACUAAAUACAUUUCACGCCCCUAAAUUUCGUGAAUUACAAAUAAUAUGUCAUGUAGCUAAAAAAAUAUUCAAAUGGUUUAAAUUCAGGAAGAUAGAGAUGUUCAAUUAUAUAUCUUAGUUAUUUAAAUUAUAACGACAACUUUUAAGAGAUUCUAAAUAACUUAGAAAGUAUGUAAUUUGUUCACAUGUGAAUCGCCUUUAGUACAUGGUAUCUCAAGUUUUGUAGCA
Solanum lycopersicum (tomato) is the source of this 613-nucleotide long non-coding RNA. RefSeq lists it as uncharacterized. Lineage: Eukaryota; Viridiplantae; Streptophyta; Magnoliopsida; Solanales; Solanaceae. The record is from RefSeq and is a predicted model, not a curated record.